This 262-nucleotide long non-coding RNA is filed under the name Mytilus galloprovincialis (Mediterranean mussel). The record is from RNAcentral. Lineage: Eukaryota; Metazoa; Mollusca; Bivalvia; Mytilida; Mytilidae.
GAUAGAUUUUUUUCUGUAUUGGCCGAGUUAUUCUAUAUUGGCCGAGUUGACACAAAUACAGGAUUUCGGAACGUCUCUAGUUUUUAUAUCGAAAGUCACGAUAAACACAAACUGAAAGUAAACAGUUGUUUGGAAGACGCAGUUUUCAUUUAGUAAUCAUAAACAUGCUGUAAACUUCAGUAUGGCGUAUAUUCCAGGCUAAAGACGGUCACAUUAAUUUAAAAAGGAUUUUGAAAGCAGACGAUGGAAGUAUUUCAGGUUU